CAGUCGCCGCGGGAACACGAAGGGUGCAAGCGUUACUCGGAACUACUGGGCGUAGAGCGUGCGUAGGUGGUGGUUUAAGUCCGUUGUGAAAGCCCUGGGCUCAACCUUGGAACUGCAUUUUUAACUACCGGACUAGAGUAUGUCAGAGGGAGGUGGAAUUCCACGUGUAGCAGCGAAAUGCGUAGAUAUGUGGAGGAACACCGAUGGCGAGGGCAGCCUCCUGGGAUAAUACUGACGCUCAUGCACGAAAGCGUGGGGAGCAAACAGGAUUAGAUACCCGUGUAGUCCCUGUCUCUUAUAC
This 301-nucleotide ribosomal RNA is filed under the name uncultured bacterium. RNAcentral describes it as "partial 16S ribosomal RNA". It matches the Rfam family "Bacterial small subunit ribosomal RNA", at positions 509 to 807 of the family's 1533-position model. The record is from RNAcentral.